AAGGAUCUCGCGUCGCUGCCAGAGCGCUGGGGGCAUUGGUGAGUUCUUCCCGUUUUAACUUUUAGUUUUUGGCUUAGACGAAAAGCUUAAUGACGAUGUAGGAAAUUUCGUGCAAAUCCCACAAGGGAAAGAUCUACUCGAGACGAAGAGCCCGCAAAGGUGGAAGGCUGAAGGCUUUCUUGACAAAAUUUCCUCGACAAGAAGCAGAGUGAAGUGAUGAUCGACAUCAAUGCGCUUGCUGCGAAGCACGAUAAAGUUUUGAGGAUCUAUCCUUCGUUCUCUCGUCGUAGCUAUCAUGAGGAUGAUCGAUCGAAAGGACCUGCAUUGCGAUGAACGAGAUUCACAAAAUUCGGCACUCUGAGACCAGGAAAGGAAACGAAGCGACUAGAGCAAAAAUCAGGGAAGAGCUCACCGUUUUAUACCCCCGGGAAGUGGAAGGCCAACGGCCUGUGGCAACAAGUUUAAUAAUGUUGAUUCAACACAGCAAUCCAGGC
This 494-nucleotide long non-coding RNA is filed under the name Selaginella moellendorffii. RNAcentral's name for it is "long non-coding RNA (SMOE_LNC000857)". Lineage: Eukaryota; Viridiplantae; Streptophyta; Lycopodiopsida; Selaginellales; Selaginellaceae. The record is from RNAcentral.